Marmota monax (woodchuck) is the source of this 3057-nucleotide RNA transcript. It is a transcript of the gene named small integral membrane protein 43, with no coding region annotated. Lineage: Eukaryota; Metazoa; Chordata; Mammalia; Rodentia; Sciuridae. The transcript is spliced from 5 exons. The record is from RefSeq and is a predicted model, not a curated record.
UCGGGGCCGGCGAGGGUGGGACCCCAGUGCCGGGGCGGCCAGGCUGUGAGCCCGGGCGGGCAGAGAGGAGGACAGAGAGGGCAGUCGGAAGGGCUCGGGCGCCUGCCCUGCAAGCUCCUCUCCAGCCCGCUGUCCUGUCCCCGAGAGGGGGAAAUGAUACCCUUCAGCUCAUUCACUCCCGCCGCUUCCCAGCAAGACCCGCCGGCCACCUAGGGAUCCACCCGGUCGGAGGAGCCUUGGGCCGGCGCCCUGCAGCACCCGGUCAUUGCCUUACAGCUUUGCGCUUCGCAGACGGCGAGAGCUGCACUGGCCGUCAGGACCGAGGCUUCAGGGCCUCUGGGUGGAGGGCUUCCUUCCUGCCCUCGAUCCCUACUCAGCCCGGGAGCGCCUCCCAGGGGGGUGUAGAACCUGGGACCGCAGAGGGUGAGCGUGAGAGACUCAUGUGGAAGAUGCCUUCUGGUUGGCGGGUCUGUGAGCUUCUGGGGAUGGCAUCGAGGGCCGGCGAAAGGGGUACUGUCCUCUAGCGUAGGGCCACGGGACAAAGAGGACGGCCAGUGCGUCUGCGGCUUCUAGAUCUCUAGUGGGAAGAUGGUCGGCAGGAUUAGACUCAGCCGUGGGUCUGGGUACUCUCCAGGCGAUGCUACUGAGGAAAUAACUUCAUCUUCCAGACACUUUGUCCCAGAUUUAGGUCGUCAACAGCACUUAGAUGGACACCGAGCGCCAAGCACCUCAGCUGCACUUACAGCCUGGAGCCCUCAAGGGGCCUGGCGAUGGACCACCCAGGCUGUCUGCCAAGGGACUGCUGGAGUCUAGAAGUUUACCCCACCCCGACCUCCUUAAAUGGGAGACCAGGGGGAAGUCUGGGCCCAGCAUAGUACUGACCUCCCCAAUCAGAACUACUUUAAACCUCACGAGUUCUCGAUCCAGAUGGAGUGCUUUGAUGGCUCCCAGGUCCAGGUCCCUGGUUCCGCCUCUUCUGUGCUUCAUCCAGGGAUGCCCUGGCUUUUCACAGUUGCUACGCCAAUUCUAUUUUUAAAGUGGUUCAAAAUGACUUCCAAUCUUAUUAGGACAACCAGAUUGUUUUCUUCAUUUCCAAGCCUGUAAGUGAAGUGGAUCCACAAUUCUGCUUGGAAAGAUAACCCAUUCAAGUUGGAUGAAAAUGACAUCACAUCCACACCUGCAAAACCUAAAAUGUCUAAUAAAGCACAUUCCCGAGCCCGAACUUCAAUUUUAGGGCACAGCUGUAGAUGCAGGAUUGAUGCCAUCUGGUGUGAUUCUGCAGCAUAAGAUAAAUCUACCCGAGUGUGCCGUGCACUGGCUUUUCUGGGAAUGACAAGAUGCCAGGAUUUGUUUUUGGUUCCCUUGCAGGGGUGGAAAGUUGGAACUAGGGAGAUCCCAAGAGGAGGCUGACUUGAAGCUGGGAGUCCUUAUACGCGGCCUGUGUCUUACUAGUGUGCCUGUGAAGUCACUUGAACUUACCACGUCAGAAUCUUCAGACAGGACGUCUUUUCUUUCAGAUGUAAAUCCCCCUUGGAUGGCUGUCUCCGUAACAGAGUAGGAAGUUGGCAAACAGUGGCUCACUUAGGGCUUUGUUCUUUUUCCUGUAACUCACACUGACGUGCUUUGGAGGUGGGUGACUACUGGUGUUGGCUCCCAGCUCACAGAAAGUCAGGCUUCAGGUGACACCUUUGGCUUUUUCCUACAGCUCCCCACCAGAAGGGGAAGCCCAAGGGGGCAGCUGGCUGUGCAGUCUGAAUCCACUUCCUUUUGAAGAGCUUUCUCAGAUGCUCAACACUGGCCAGCCCCCUGUUACUGGCUGCUGCCAUCUGGAGAUGGCUCGAGCAAUGCCUUCAACCAAAAUCUGCCUUCUCUUGGUGAGGGGUGAUGGCAGCACAUCUCAAGUGGACAAGUAGCCAUCUGUGCCCUGGUGACAAAAUCCCAUUGUGAAGGAGCACAAUGCUCGAAAUGGAUUGAGACAGUGGCCCCUUCCCAGCUGGUAGAACUCCAGGCAGCCUGCUCAGCUGGAGUGAGGGCUGGGAAGAGGCCAGGUGUUCCCACGGGGCGUGGGCAGGCUUGCCCGUGUGGGCAUCUUCUGGGGGACAUGGUCUCUCUGUGGAGGCUGGAUAGAGCACGAAGCCUUGCUCUUCUGCAUUACCGUCACUGUGUCCUCCCUAACUCCUGUCAGUCGGACUUUAGUGGAAUCUAGGUUUGCAUAUUUGGUGCCCAAAAAAGACCAUCCCUUUUAUGCACCAGGGAGAUAGUCUAUGCAAAGAAAGUCUUCCUUGCUUCCUCUUAUGACUCUGCCACCAAGCUAGGAAUAUCCUGGGAGAAUCGCCUCUCGGAGCUGCUUCCACGAGCAGCCCACAUCCUGGCAGAGCAGCGGGAGAAGAAUCACUUCCCACACCCAAGGCUGUCCAGAGAACUUUCCGUGAUGAUAGCAACGUUCCCUAUCUGCAGUCUCCGAUAUGGUAACCACUAGUCACAUGUGGCUGGUGCACACUUGAAGUGACUGAGUAGGUAACUCUGAAAUUUUACUUAUGUCAAUAAGGAAAACUAACCACAUGGCGCCAGUGGCUCUGGUAUUGGACACACAGUCCACAUCCUGCACUUCCUUGUGUUGCAGAGAGGUGGGAGAGUGUGGCCAGGGCCGUGCUUGGAGUCCCUUGGCCUUCAUUGUCUCACCCUGCAGUGGACCUUGUUUCCCCGAGGAAGAGGAGAAGUGGUUCUUUGGAACUGAAUUCAAGAUGCUGACUUGACGUGUAUGUUGCCCACCCUCUUGGGAUUCAUGAAUGUUUUGGGAGUAGGUCUCAGGAUUGCUUUUGGUGACAAAGGACGAUAAAGAAACCACAGUGCAGGUUCCCCUCGCCCUCUUAGUACCCGUUGUGUGUUCCUAAGUCAGAGUGUUUCCACGGUUUAUUUUGAUCUAUUGUGCAGGUUUUUUUAAUUUUUGUAACAUUGUGACUUUUAAAUGAUUAUUCUGUGUAUGUUUUCCAAAAUACCUAGUGAUUUAUAUUUUUUAAAAAAGACUGUGAAAUAAAAUAUAAUACUUAUAUGUAA